This 233-nucleotide ribosomal RNA is filed under the name Endozoicomonas sp. Its description in RNAcentral is "partial 16S ribosomal RNA". It matches the Rfam family "Bacterial small subunit ribosomal RNA", at positions 1165 to 1397 of the family's 1533-position model. Lineage: Bacteria; Pseudomonadati; Pseudomonadota; Gammaproteobacteria; Oceanospirillales; Endozoicomonadaceae. The record is from RNAcentral.
GGAGGAAGGUGGGGACGACGUCAAGUCAUCAUGGCCCUUACGGCCAGGGCUACACACGUGCUACAAUGGUGCAUACAGACGGUUGCCAAGCCGCGAGGUGGAGCUAAUCUGAGAAAGUGCAUCGUAGUCCGGAUUGGAGUCUGCAACUCGACUCCAUGAAGUCGGAAUCGCUAGUAAUCGUGAAUCAGAAUGUCACGGUGAAUACGUUCCCGGGCCUUGUACACACCGCCCGU